Molecule: long non-coding RNA, 7392 nt
Organism: Zea mays
Lineage: Eukaryota; Viridiplantae; Streptophyta; Magnoliopsida; Poales; Poaceae
Exons: 3
Source: RefSeq, a predicted model, not a curated record
UGCUCUCUAAUAUGCCUUGUCAGACUUAAAGGGUUGCAUUUGGGUUCAGCUCUCUGAAGAAGAGUUUCAGAGUGUGUGCUUGGCUUUGGAACCUUAUAGUUUGUGAUCCAUGUGUUUCUAGCAGUGGAAUGCUGUAGUGGGUUGAAGAGCUAUAGUCAAUGAGCAAGUUUCCUAUGAUUAAAUUAAGGUGUUGCUACAGGGAAAAUGUAAGGGAAUGACCUUGAAAGGCCCCUGUCAGUCCAGCUAAGCAACAGUAAUUCGUUUAGGACUGAAGACAGUUUCUGAAGAAGAUUAUCUCCUCUCCCUGCUGGUUUCUUUGGAUGUUUGGGUAGAGAUAAGGUCGAAGUCCAGAGCCAGGGAUCUAGUGGCCUCAGAUCUACUAAAAAAAUAUCCAAAUUUUGACCUAUUUUGUGAGCAGUGAAUGAGAGGGGGUCCUCAUCUAAUGAAUCUUUAAUGGGGUAUGCUGGACAGCAGCAGUUCUAGUGGCUUCAUCCCUUUAGAAAUAUCAGUUUGGAUCCAUUUAAGUCUGCACACACUAGAAUUCUUAUCUGUUGGUUUACUGUCUACAGAAAGGGACAAAUCAGAUAUUUGGCUGCUAGAAGUGACCAAGUUCAGUUUUUCUUGCCGUGACCAACUUUGGAAUAGGAUGAAGAUUGGGAUGGAGUGCUGGCAGGGGUAUUCAGAUUUGUUCAUCACUGAAAUAUCACCUGUGCAAAUAUCCAGAACAGUGCCAUCCUAUCUUCACCUCCCUCCCUUGCCCUGGAUAAUCUUCACCCUGCAGCACCGGCGUGGGCUUCCUUGAGUAAGCCACGACUGCACCCCAUGCACAUAGUUAUCCCCCCUGUAAACUCAAGAAUCCAGUCCCUUGAUAUUUUCCCUGCCUAUAUAAAGAGCAACAGGGUGAGGGAAAGAAAGCAGAAGCCAGUGCAGUGAUCCGUGCCUCGAUCAUCAACCGUAGUGAGUAGCUUCAGUCAGCAGUAUUGCUCUUCCUUCCCCAAAUCAUACCCUGGACGCGCCCAAUUCCAUCGAUCAAGGCACUGAAUGUGUCUGGUGACCACACCUGCAGAUCUUCCACUUUACCGUGGCCAGAAAACGAAGAAGAGAGUGAAGUGACUGAAGAGAAGACACCACCACCUUUGGAUUCUCAGGCAGGGACUUGGCUCUACUUCGACAUCUGCGGAUCCGAGCCUGACUCACCUGUGAACGAAGGCAAGCCCCGGUGCAUGCAACCCCUUUCCUUGUGUUUUAAAUACUUUUCGCACACUUUAAGUCUAGUGAAAUGUGCAUUAGGUUCAUAGGAGUUGCUUGGAACCCUUUAAUGCAUUGAUUUCCUUGAUAUCCAUACCUUUAUAGAUACUUCUGUGAAGUAUCAAAAUAUGAUUUACAAAAAUGCUUAGCCUUGCUUAGACCUUGUGGAUAGAGGUUGUCCUCAGUCUAACCCGGGAGAGGAUGGCUUCUACCUGCAAGAAUAUUUUCAUUUGGAGCAAUAGUGGGAUCUUACUGCAAAGUUCCCUGUGAUGCUCUUUCAUCCUAAGGAACAGACACAAUCCUAAGGAUGGAAAUACUUAAAUUGAGACUUGGGUUAGGAACAGGUGAUGUUCUACCCAGGUUGGUUAAGGAUUAAUGCGUAUGUAGGCGUGCUGACCGAGGACCCUUUAACUGGUCACAUGCCUCGUCAUGGGUAAGCCUUGCCUCGGGCAGACUAAGGCCAGAAUAAGAUAACACGAAAUGGGCGUGGAGCGGUGGCGAGAGUAGCGUGUACCCUCCGUGGCAAGAGGCUGGACGGUGGUGUAUCUGUGCUCUCGGUUUGCGUGAACCUGAUCUGGUCUUAAGAACCCCGGUGGCGGGUUGACAUAUGCAAGGGUUAAGUGCUACAUAUGUCGUGUGAUUGGAGAUCCUCAGCUGAGUAUAAUCGAUUCGGAUCGCCGUACCUUCGCGGUUAUGAAGACUUGGUCACUUCCCUGCAACCUAAAGUCAGGAUGUGAACACUAUGGAUAAAAAUAAUGUUGUAUUGAUGAGAUGUUGAAAUUAGACUAGAUGCAAAUAGAGUCUAUUAAUACUUAAUAUGGCGUUAAAAGAUUGAAAGUAAGGACUCACUUUAGUAAGCUACUUCUGCAAAAGUAUAAGUUGAUUUUUGCUAAAGCCUCUCCUUGACUCCUAUUUACCCAGCAUACCCUUGAGAGUGUUUUCCUUAGUCGGGUAAGACUUGCUGAGUAAUUCCAUACUCAGGGUUUAUCCCUUUGUUGUUUUUAGGUGAGGAAGCGACAAAUUUUUGUUGCUUUUGCUCCAAGGUGGUACCAAAUGAAGAAAAACAAGAGUGAAGAUGCGGGAGGACGUGGUCCUCCAUAAGAACCUUUGUUUGAUAGUUAUCGGGAGGAGUUUUUGCCUCCCCUGGUAUGUGUAAUAAUACUACCCUGCACUCGUUUUAUAACUCUGGUCUGUAAUAAAUAACUUGAUCUUACUUUCUAAAUAAAUGUAAGUUUAUAUAAUUGCUUCCGCAUUUCUAUAUCUCCGAUGUUCUGUAAUGUCUGCAAGACGGGUGAAACGUUCCUGGUAAGGUAAGGAAAGAUACCGAGCUUGUCAAGUGACUUAGGAACAUCUACAGGGUGUCUGAUGUCUGUUAGACAAGGACAACUAUAGGUGGGCCUAAUUACUUGGGAGGUUCCGUCACAGCUGGUAUCGGAGCGUAGCCCUUCUUUGCAGAUAUUAUGAGACAUCUUCAAAAGGAUUUUCAAAAGUCUUCCCUAAAAACUCUUUUCUCUUCUUACCUAAGUAUUCUGAAGAGUCUAUCUUAAAGACCAGAUAGAAAGAGUGCAAUGUAUAGAAGGUUGAAUCAACUAAGGUUGAUUCUGUAAUUAUACAUGCAUCUUUCUAAGAACUAUGCUAAUAAAAGAUUUCCCCUUAGAGAAAUGCUGUCACGCACUAUUCUUAGAGGACAACCAUGGUAUGAGUAGUAGUGCGUAUUCCAGAACGUGCUAGAAAACCAUCUUGGCCACAUUGGAUGUUCCAUGCUAAAGGAAUGGCUCCUUGGGAAGGAGCUCAGGUAACUGCCUUAGAGGUGUUGAACAACAUCGUGGUUAAGUGAAACAGAACACCUCCCCUACCUUGUAAGAGAAAUUAGGAAAUAAGUCAGUGACACGUUUCCUUUUCCAUUACUAAGCCUAGACUUUUAAAUCUCGGGACGAGAUUUCUUUUUAGGGGGGAAGACUGUAACACCCCUGGUGUUACAUUAACUAAAACUCUGACAUGUCAUCAUAAGCAUUUGCAUUAUCUUGUUUGAUAUACCUAGAAUGCAUUCACUAGGUCAAAAAAAUUCAAUGAAUGUGGUGUUGUGUAUUAGAGUACAGGACUCAGAUUAAGAACUUUGCUUAAGACAUGGGAAGAAAAGUCGUCUCUUGAGCAAGUAAUAAGUUGGCUUGGAAUUUAAAGUAUUAAAGGUAAGACUUAGGACCUAGAGCAACUUUGUUUUCAAAGGGAGAUCAAGUGGAAGGAACACUUGAGCUGAAGGGUCAACUUAGAAACCUUAAUGUGAGGGUUGAAAGUUUGUUUGCAAUUAUGUGUAAGCAAACAACUCCUAAACCAAGGAUACUUUGGAUCUGAGUUAUAUAUACCAAAGUUGGAUUUGAGACUAAGGAGUAACUUUUCUUUAAAAGAAUGGAGAAAUUCACAAAGGUUUAGUUUUGGAGUUCCUGAAAAUCGCAGCAACUAGGCAAUUUUAGUCCUUUGUAACUUUUGAUCUAGAACCAUUUUGAAGAUGAUCAUUAUAACAAAGUUAUAGAGCUAUAUGAGGAGUAUAAGUUUGGUGAAGUCAUAUAGCUCUAAAACUAUUUGGAACUUUGAGUAAAACUGGUCCAAAGUAAAGCUGUCAAAAAUUGUGGAUUUCAGACUUAGUGAAAUUCAGAUUCUGAAUUUCAUCAAUUGGAGCAAACUUUGGGCUAUUGUAGUUUGGAAUCCAAGAGGUUUUGGUUAUUGAUCACUAUACCAAACUUGUAGAGGAACUAUAGGAGUAUAAACUUUAUUAAGCAAUUGUCCCCUAUAAACAUUUGAAAGCCAGGCAAAAGAGUGGUUUAAAGUGGUGCUGCUGUGUUUCUGAAUUUUCAGAUUGGUGACUUAGUGGUUCAGAGCUGAAACUCUGAAAAACAGCCAAUGAUGCUCUAUUUGGAGCUCAGUUGUGAUUAAUAUAUAUGGUUUUAGACCAAGAGUUGUAUAUCAAAAUGGAAGACCAUAUAUAGGAGAACAAAUUUCUUUAAGUGAGUUUGGUUUGGUGCUACACAGAAAAAGGAGUAAAAGUGGCUCAAAAUUGGACUGUCAGGCUGGUUCCAACUGCUUUGGGUUCAGUCUCUGAAACCUGAAUUUCAGUAUAUGAUGCUUAAUUUGGAGCUGUUUUGUGAUAAAUAUGAGUGGUUUUAGACUAUAGUUUCUAUAGCAAAGUUGGAGAACAGAUAUAGAUGGACAAGUUUCAUGCAAGGAGAUGGUCCUGUUGUUAUGUAAAGAUGGAGAGAGAAUGGAGCUGCAAAGUCCUCUGUCAGAAAUAGUGAGGGCUGUUCAGUUAAGCUGAGACCAAGUGUUUGGCUGUUUCUGCUAUAAUUUGGAACACCACAACUUCAAUUCUGAGUAGUUUCAGCUUUGGAGUGUUGUACCAAAGUGGAAUACCUAUGGUUGGAGAAUAAGGCUUGUUAAGGGAGAUGGGUCUGUUGUCAUAUGGAAUUGUGAGUAAAAUGCUCUCUAAUAUGCCUUGUCAGACUUAAAGGGUUGCAUUUGGGUUCAGCUCUCUGAAGAAGAGUUUCAGAGUGUGUGCUUGGCUUUGGAACCUUAUAGUUUGUGAUCCAUGUGUUUCUAGCAGUGGAAUGCUGUAGUGGGUUGAAGAGCUAUAGUCAAUGAGCAAGUUUCCUAUGAUUAAAUUAAGGUGUUGCUACAUGGAAAAUGUAAGGGAAUGACCUUGAAAGGCCCCUGUCAGUCCAGCUAAGCAACAGUAAUUCGUUUAGGACUGAAGACAGUUUCUGAAGAAGAUUAUCUCCUCUCCCUGCUGGUUUCUUUGGAUGUUUGGGUAGAGAUAAGGUCGAAGUCCAGAGCCAGGGAUCUAGUGGCCUCAGAUCUACUAAAAAAAUAUCCAAAUUUUGACCUAUUUUGUGAGCAGUGAAUGAGAGGGGGUCCUCAUCUAAUGAAUCUUUAAUGGGGUAUGCUGGACAGCAGCAGUUCUAGUGGCUUCAUCCCUUUAGAAAUAUCAGUUUGGAUCCAUUUAAGUCUGCACACACUAGAAUUCUUAUCUGUUGGUUUACUGUCUACAGAAAGGGACAAAUCAGAUAUUUGGCUGCUAGAAGUGACCAAGUUCAGUUUUUCUUGCCGUGACCAACUUUGGAAUAGGAUGAAGAUUGGGAUGGAGUGUUGGCAGGGGUAUUCAGAUUUGUUCAUCACUGAAAUAUCACCUGUGCAAAUAUCCAGAACAGUGCCAUCCUAUCUUCACCUCCCUCCCUUGCCCUGGAUAAUCUUCACCCUGCAGCACCGGCGUGGGCUUCCUUGAGUAAGCCACGACUGCACCCCAUGCACAUAGUUAUCCCCCCUGUAAACUCAAGAAUCCAGUCCCUUGAUCUUUUCCCUGCCUAUAUAAAGAGCAACAGGGUGAGGGAAAGAAAGCAGAAGCCAGUGCAGUGAUCCGUGCCUCGAUCAUCAACCAUAGUGAGUAGCUUCAGUCAGCAGUAUUGCUCUUCCUUCCCCAAAUCAUACCCUGGACGCGCCCAAUUCCAUCGAUCAAGGCACUGAAUGUGUCUGGUGACCACACCUGCAGAUCUUCCACUUUACCGUGGCCAGAAAACGAAGAAGAGAGUAAAGUGACUGAAGAGAAGACACCACCACCUUUGGAAUCUCAGGCAGGGACUUGGCUCUACUUCGACAUCUGCGGAUCCGAGCCUGACUCACCUGUGAACAAAGGCAAGCCCCGGUGCAUGCAACCCCUUUCCUUGUGUUUUAAAUACUUUUCGCACACUUUAAGUCUAGUGAAAUGUGCAUUAGGUUCAUAGGAGUUGCUUGGAACCCUUUAAUGCAUUGCUUUCCUUGAUAUCCAUACCUUUAUAGAUACUUCUGUGAAGUAUCAAAAUAUGAUUUACAAAAAUGCUUAGCCUUGCUUAGACCUUGUGGAUAGAGGUUGUCCUCAGUCUAACCCGGGAGAGGAUGGCUUCUACCUGCAAGAAUAUUUUCAUUUGGAGCAAUAGUGGGAUCUUACUGCAAAGUUCCCUGUGAUGCUCUUUCAUCCUAAGGAACAGACACAAUCCUAAGGAUGGAAAUACUUAAAUUGAGACUUGGGUUAGGAACAGGUGAUGUUCUACCCAGGUUGGUUAAGGAUUAAUGCGUAUGUAGGCGUGCUGACCGAGGACCCUUUAACUGGUCACAUGCCUCGUCAUGGGUAAGCCUUGCCUCGGGCAGACUAAGGCCAGAAUAAGAUAACACGAAAUGGCGCAUGGAGCGGUGGCGAGAGUAGCGUGUACCCUCCGUGGCAAGAGGCUGGACGGUGGUGUAUCUGUGCUCUCGGUUUGCGUGAACCUGAUCUGGUCUUAAGAACCCCGGUGGCGGGUUGACAUAUGCAAGGGUUAAGUGCUACAUAUGUCGUGUGAUUGGAGAUCCUCAGCUGAGUAUAAUCGAUUCGGAUCGUCGUACCUUCGCGGUUAUGAAGACUUGGUCACUUCCCUGCAACCUAAAGUCAGGAUGUGAACACUAUGGAUAAAAAUAAUGUUGUAUUGAUGAGAUGUUGAAAUUAGACUAGAUGCAAAUAGAGUCUAUUAAUACUUAAUAUGGCGUUAAAAGAUUGAAAGUAAGGACUCACUUUAGUAAGCUACUUCUGCAAAAGUAUAAGUUGAUUUUUGCUAAAGCCUCUCCUUGACUCCUAUUUACCCAGCAUACCCUUGAGAGUCUUUUCCUUAGUCGGGUAAGACUUGCUGAGUAAUUCCAUACUCAGGGUUUAUCCCUUUGUUGUUUUUAGGUGAGGAAGCGACAAAUUUUUGUUGCUUUUGCUCCAAGGUGGUACCAAAUGAAGAAAAACAAGAGUGAAGAUGCGGGAGGACGUGGUCCUCCAUAAGAACCUUUGUUUGAUAGUUAUCGGGAGGAGUUUUUGCCUCCCCUGGUAUGUGUAAUAAUACUACCCUGCACUCGUUUUAUAACUCUGGUCUGUAAUAAAUAACUUGAUCUUACUUUCUAAAUAAAUGUAAGUUUAUAUAAUUGCUUCCGCAUUUCUAUAUCUCCGAUGUUCUGUAAUGUCUGCAAGACGGGUGAAACGUUCCUGGUAAGGUAAGGAAAGAUACCGAGCUUGUCAAGUGACUUAGGAACAUCUACAGGGUGUCUGAUGUCUGUUAGACAAGGACAACUAUAGGUGGGCCUAAUUACUUGGGAGGUUCCGUCACA